AUCUAUAGCCAUACCACUCUGAAUAUGCCUGAUCUCGUCUGAUCUCAGAAGCUAAGCAGGGUUGGGCCUGGUUACUACUUGGAUGGGAGACCCUGCCUCUACAAAAC
RNAcentral lists this ribosomal RNA (107 nucleotides) under Callithrix jacchus (white-tufted-ear marmoset). The record is from RNAcentral. Lineage: Eukaryota; Metazoa; Chordata; Mammalia; Primates; Cebidae.